AAAUAAAUUAUCACAAUGAGCACUUUCUUCCUGCUCAAAGUGUUGUUCUGGCCAGUUCUAAUUCUUCAGCACCAGCUUCAUUCAUAACAGGCAGGGAUGGUGCCCCGUAAGUGCUGGAGACUCGGAUCUGAUAGAAUCAUUGCAGAUAUAAUUAAAUGAGUUAAGCUGAGGUCCUACCAGAUUAGGGUGGGCUCUCAUCCCAUGACUGAUGUCCUUGUAAGUGGAGAAAUGGAGAAGACAUAUGUGUGCAGAGGGAAGACAAUGUGAAUACACACAGGGAGAACACCAUGUGAUGAUGUAGAAGCCACUGGAGAGCU
RNAcentral lists this long non-coding RNA (317 nucleotides) under Homo sapiens (human). Its description in RNAcentral is "non-protein coding lnc-JUN-8:1". Lineage: Eukaryota; Metazoa; Chordata; Mammalia; Primates; Hominidae. The record is from RNAcentral.